This 30-nucleotide non-coding RNA is filed under the name Mus musculus (house mouse). Lineage: Eukaryota; Metazoa; Chordata; Mammalia; Rodentia; Muridae. The record is from RNAcentral.
UGAGAAUAAUCUAAAAAGCGGGGCUGAGAU